RNAcentral lists this ribosomal RNA (253 nucleotides) under uncultured bacterium. Its description in RNAcentral is "partial 16S ribosomal RNA". It matches the Rfam family "Bacterial small subunit ribosomal RNA", at positions 524 to 776 of the family's 1533-position model. The record is from RNAcentral.
UACAGAGGGUGCAAGCGUUAAUCGGACUUACUGGGCGUAAAGCGUGCGCAGACGGUUGCGUAAGUCAGAUGUGAAAGCCCCGGGCUCAACCUGGGAAUUGCAUUUGAGACUGCGUAGCUAGGGUGCAGAAGAGGGAAGCGGAAUUUCCGGUGUAGCGGUGAAAUGCGUAGAUAUCGGAAGGAACACCAGUGGCGAAAGCGGCUUCCUGGUCCAGCACCGACGUUCAGGCACGAAAGCGUGGGGAGCAAACAGG